RNAcentral lists this ribosomal RNA (492 nucleotides) under uncultured bacterium. RNAcentral's name for it is "partial 16S ribosomal RNA". It matches the Rfam family "Bacterial small subunit ribosomal RNA", at positions 29 to 507 of the family's 1533-position model. The record is from RNAcentral.
AGUGAACGCUGGCGGUAGGCCUAACACAUGCAAGUCGAACGGCAGCACAGUAAGAGCUUGCUCUUACGGGUGGCGAGUGGCGGACGGGUGAGGAAUACAUCGGAAUCUACUUUUUCGUGGGGGAUAACGUAGGGAAACUUACGCUAAUACCGCAUACGACCUACGGGUGAAAGCAGGGGAUAUUCGGACCUUGCGCGAUUGAAUGAGACGAUGUCGGAUUAGCUAGUUGGCGGGGUAAAGGCCCACCAAGGCGACGAUCCGUAGCUGGUCUGAGAGGAUGAUCAGCCACACUGGAACUGAGACACGGUCCAGACUCCUACGGGAGGCAGCAGUGGGGAAUAUUGGACAAUGGGCGCAAGCCUGAUCCAGCCAUACCGCGUGGGUGAAGAAGGCUUUCGGGUUGUAAAGCCCUUUUGUUGGGAAAGAAAAGCAGCAGGUUAAUACCCCGCUGUUCUGACGGUACCCAAAGAAUAAGCACCGGCUAACUUCGUG